This is a long non-coding RNA of Pararge aegeria (speckled wood butterfly), 337 nucleotides long. RefSeq lists it as uncharacterized. The record is from RefSeq and is a predicted model, not a curated record. The transcript has 3 exons. NCBI's taxonomy places the organism in Eukaryota, Metazoa, Arthropoda, Insecta, Lepidoptera, Nymphalidae.
CUGACGUUUCUAGCGAUCGCGGCCGUUGUGGCACAAUACGAGUUCUCCAUGUCCGGGAGUAGAAACCUCCCUAACUACAUAAAGAAAUCGCUACGUGAAAAGAAUCACUAUAAAGCUGUACCGAGAGAGAGAAAAAGAACAUUAUCUAACCUCACGCUGCAAGAGGUGUUCGAUAAAAUAAAAGACAUUACCAGAGCGCUCAACCUACACGCAAAAAGAAAUGGAUAUUUUGUCGAUUACAAGUUCCGAAUGCUGGGCACAACAUGAAUGAUUUUAAAACAUUUUUUCGUGGUAAGGCGUGAAAUUUGAGAUAAGCGCCAUCUAGUUUAAAGUUCAG